RNAcentral lists this ribosomal RNA (143 nucleotides) under uncultured Chloroflexota bacterium. RNAcentral describes it as "uncultured Chloroflexi bacterium partial 16S ribosomal RNA". It matches the Rfam family "Bacterial small subunit ribosomal RNA", at positions 368 to 525 of the family's 1533-position model. The record is from RNAcentral. Lineage: Bacteria; Bacillati; Chloroflexota.
GCAAGGGGCAGGGCGAGCCUGACCCAGCACGCCGCGUGAGGGAUGAAGGCUUUCGGGUUGUAAACCUCUUUUCAUAGGGAAGAAUAAUGACGGUACCUGUGGAAUAAGCUUCGGCUAACUACGUGCCAGCAGCCGCGGUAAUU